Molecule: RNA transcript, 2125 nt
Organism: Lycium ferocissimum
Lineage: Eukaryota; Viridiplantae; Streptophyta; Magnoliopsida; Solanales; Solanaceae
Exons: 9
Source: RefSeq, a predicted model, not a curated record
GAUAUGCAGUCACACCCAUUAGGCCCGCUCCCAAAAAAAAGAAAAGAAAAGAGUUACUGUAGUGACCAGACAAGUGACAGGCGACGCCGUUUUGUGAAUGUUGAUAGUUAAGGGUACCAAAUCCAAUCUGAAGGAAACCAAUAGCACUAGUGAUAACCAAAAUUAGGGUGAGGAUGCAGACUGAAGCCCGCGUAGGAGUGGUUGUGGAUGGAAAAGGAAGUGGUCGGAAAUUGCAGCGUCAGCAUUCUCAGAUUGGAUCUGUUCCUCAGCUUGUUGCCGGUGGUCUUGCCGGUGCUGUCAGCAAGACAUGCACUGCCCCUCUUGCUCGCCUUACUAUUCUCUUUCAGCUGCAAGGAAUGCACACCGAUGCUGCUACCUUCAAAAAGUCUAGUAUAUGCCAAGAGGCUUCACGUAUUGUACGCGAAGAAGGAUUUCGCGCAUUUUGGAAGGGCAAUUUGGUCACUAUUGCUCAUCGCCUCCCAUAUUCCUCUAUCAGCUUUUAUGCUUUUGAACGCUACAAGAAUGUGUUGCAAUUGAUUUUGGGAGUUGAAAGCCAAGGAGAGAAUAUAAGUGCAGACCUUUGCAUAAGACUUGUAGGUGGUGGUUUCGCUGGAAUAACUGCUGCUUCUCUUACAUACCCCUUGGAUCUUGUUAGGACACGUCUUGCAGCUCAGACAAAUGUAAUAUAUUACAGAGGCAUAUGGCAUGCAUUACAAACCAUCAGUAGGGAAGAAGGGAUAGCCGGCCUUUAUAAAGGAAUGGGUGCUACUUUAUUGGGGGUUGGCCCGAACCUGGCAAUCAGCUUUUCUGUUUAUGACACUGUGAGAUCGUACUGGCAGUCUCAUAGGCCAGAUGAUUCAACUGUCUUGGUCAGCCUUGCUUGUGGAAGUCUUUCAGGUGUUGCAUCAUCAACAGAGAAGCAGGUUGAGGUGCUGGCUUCUCACUAAGUUUCUAACUGGACUGACUCUUAGAGCCCGAGACCGAGCACUUUUAUCUGGCAUUUGAUUUUAUUGGCUCCACCAUGGUGGAUAUUUGCAUGGGAGCCAUAUGUAUUUGCAGUUAUCAAAAUGUGAGAGGCUUCCUCGUUGAGGGUACAGAAGUAGUUGGAGCAUCCCAGUCGGCUUUACGUUAUUCCAUUGAACAGGCAUCAGUGAUUUAAAAGCAAAAAGUGCUAAAAAGCCAUCCUGAGGUGGUUGGUAAAAAACGAGGAACACAAGCACAUACUGUAGCUGUAGAAGAGCUAGCAGAAUAGAAGAAAGGAAUAGGAGAAAGAUCAAAGUGGGGAGGAUGAUGAAGGACAAGAAGAAAAGAAAUCAGGAAGAGAGAAGUGGAACAAUUACAGGACAAGGGAAAAAGAGAAGAAAAAAGCUAAAUAGUGAUGGGAUUUGAAUCGUCAAUAAAGAAGACGAGGAACCUUCCUGGAGCAAAGUGAAAGGCCGUUUAAGACCUAUUUUCUCUCCACCCUUUCUUGUAUUGGAGCUGCAUAGCCCUACUGGGAAGGAAUGUAAAUGUAGUAAUCGCAGAAUUUUAUUCAACACAAGGCUGGAAUCUCUCUCUUAGAAGGAAUGUAAAUGAUUGGGAAGUAGAACGAGUAUGUCUUUUGCUUCAGCUGCUAAGCAACAUAGCUUUGGACUACAAAAAAGUAGAUUCUAUUACAUGGGAGGGGCAUCCCAAAUGUCUCUUUACGGUCAGAAGCUGCAAUCAAGUAACAACAGGGUCUUUGCCUUGGGAAAAAAAAUUGGCUUUGGAAGGCACCUUUGAAGGUCAUUUGCUUCUCUUGGAUUGUGGCUAGAGAGACUUGUCUCACUCGUUCCAACGUUCAAAAGAGGAAAAUUCAGCUUUGUAGUAGGUGCCCCAUGUGUGAAGAGCGCUCUGAAGAUGUUGGCCACCUCCUUUUGUAUUGUAUAGUUACUACUCGCUGUGCAGCAUGUUCUUGUCGAUCUUAUGAAUGUCCUGGUCCAUGCCAAAAUCCACUAGGGAGCUAUUGCAAUGUUGGAAGAAAGAAGGGUUGUGCAAGAAAUCACAAGAGACUUGGACUACCAUCCCUCAAGCCAUUUAGUGGACUGUUUGGCUUGAAAGAAAUGAUAUAAAUUUUGAAGGCCGUAGGAGAAAUUGCAUGGCCUUA